CGGGACGGGUGAGUAAUGUAUGGGGAUCUGCCUGAUGGCGGGGGAUAACUACUGGAAACGGUAGCUAAUACCGCAUAAUGUCUGCGGACCAAAGCGGGGGACCUCCGGGCCUCGCGCCAUCAGAUGAACCCAUAUGGGAUUAGCUAGUAGGUAAGGUAACGGCUUACCUAGGCGACGAUCCCUAGCUGGUCUGAGAGGAUGACCAGCCACACUGGAACUGAGACACGGCCCAG
This 233-nucleotide ribosomal RNA is filed under the name uncultured bacterium. RNAcentral's name for it is "partial 16S ribosomal RNA". It matches the Rfam family "Bacterial small subunit ribosomal RNA", at positions 100 to 334 of the family's 1533-position model. The record is from RNAcentral.